AGUCGUAACAAGGUCUCCGUAGGUGAACCUGCGGAGGGAUCAUUAACGCUCUCUCUCAUCAUUAAAUCAAAAAGGGCUUGUGCAUCUCUAUGUACAUGUAUUUAUUUAUAUGUACGUAGAGGUACAAGCCUGAACGCCAAGUGCGCACACUUCGAUAUAUUUCACGAUAUGUCAAGUGCGCGCGCGCACGCGCGCUUGAAUUGUGCGCGCAAGCGCAUAAUUCAAGCAGUUGAAGUGCUCCAAUAUUCACCACACACAACCAAUUUACACUUGAACAACAACAUACAAUACACAUAGAUACACAGUCAAAUGUAUAUCUCUGUUGUGUUGUCAAUCUAAAUAUAUAACCAAAUAUAACAACUCCUAACAACGGAUAUCUUGGUUCUCGCGAGGAUGAAGAACGCAGC
This 407-nucleotide unclassified non-coding RNA is filed under the name fungal sp. RNAcentral's name for it is "partial internal transcribed spacer region". The stretch from base 1 to 45 matches the Rfam family "Eukaryotic small subunit ribosomal RNA", at positions 1787 to 1831 of the family's 1831-position model. The record is from RNAcentral. Lineage: Eukaryota; Fungi.